RNAcentral lists this ribosomal RNA (711 nucleotides) under Acinetobacter baumannii. Its description in RNAcentral is "bacterial SSU rRNA". It matches the Rfam family "Bacterial small subunit ribosomal RNA", at positions 1 to 692 of the family's 1533-position model. Lineage: Bacteria; Pseudomonadati; Pseudomonadota; Gammaproteobacteria; Moraxellales; Moraxellaceae. The record is from RNAcentral.
UUUAUGGAGAGUUUGAUCCUGGCUCAGGACGAACGCUGGCGGCGUGCCUAAUACAUGCAAGUCGAGCGGAAAUUUAUUGGUGCUUGCACCUUUAAAUUUUAGCGGCGGACGGGUGAGUAACACGUGGGUAACCUGCCCUACAGACUGGGAUAACUUCGGGAAACCGAGGCUAAUACCGGAUAAUACUUUUUAACCCAUGUUAGAAAGUUGAAAGAUGGUUUUGCUAUCACUGUAGGAUGGACCCGCGGUGCAUUAGCUAGUUGGUGAGGUAACGGCUCACCAAGGCAACGAUGCAUAGCCGACCUGAGAGGGUGAUCGGCCACACUGGGACUGAGACACGGCCCAGACUCCUACGGGAGGCAGCAGUAGGGAAUCUUCCACAAUGGGCGAAAGCCUGAUUCAGCAACGCCGCGUGAGUGAAGAAGGAUUUCGGUUCGUAAAACUCUGUUGUAAGGGAAGAACAAGUACAGUAGUAACUGGCUGUACCUUGACGGUACCUUAUUAGAAAGCCACGGCUAACUACGUGCCAGCAGCCGCGGUAAUACGUAGGUGGCAAGCGUUGUCCGGAAUUAUUGGGCGUAAAGCGCGCGCAGGUGGUCCUUUAAGUCUGAUGUGAAAGCCCACGGCUCAACCGUGGAGGGUCAUUGGAAACUGGGGGACUUGAGUGCAGAAGAGGAUAGUGGAAUUCCAAGUGUAGCGGUGAAAUGCGUA